RNAcentral lists this ribosomal RNA (417 nucleotides) under uncultured bacterium. RNAcentral's name for it is "bacterial SSU rRNA". It matches the Rfam family "Bacterial small subunit ribosomal RNA", at positions 954 to 1366 of the family's 1533-position model. The record is from RNAcentral.
AUGGGAACGCGAAGAACCUUACCUAGACUUGACAUCUUCUGCAUUAAUCGUAAUGGAUGAAAUCCCUUCGGGGACAGAAUGACAGGUGGUGCAUGGUUGUCGUCAGCUCGUGUCGUGAGAUGUUGGGUUAAGUCCCGCAACGAGCGCAACCCCUAUUAUUAGUUGCUACCAUUAAGUUGAGCACUCUAUAGAGACUGCCCGGGGUUAACCGGGAGGAGGGGUGGGGGAUGACGUCAAAAUCAUCAUGCCCCUUAUGUCUAGGGCCACACACGUGCUACAAUGGUGAGUACAACGAGAUGCGAACCCGCGAGGGGGAGCUAAACUACAAAAACUCAUCUCAGUUCGGAUUGCAGGCUGCAACUCGCCUGCAUGAAGNUGGGAGUUGCUAGUAAUCGCGAGCCAGAAUGUCGCGGUGAA